Long non-coding RNA from Falco peregrinus (peregrine falcon), 2690 nucleotides. RefSeq lists it as uncharacterized. Lineage: Eukaryota; Metazoa; Chordata; Aves; Falconiformes; Falconidae. The transcript is spliced from 4 exons. The record is from RefSeq and is a predicted model, not a curated record.
GGCGGGGCCGGCCCCAGAAGGUGGGUUCAUUUCCGGCCCGCGCGGCGCGCUGGAGCGGUGGUGGCGGUGCGGGGCCUUCGCCGGGAGCCUGGAAGACUUUUGGGCAGGGAUGUGCAGCGGUGCGCUGGGUUCAUCCGGAAUUGUACGUUGACAGAUCAAGGGGAGCUAAACUGAAGGGUGUGGGAAGGCCAGAGAGAUUGGAAGCCUCAGCUGUUGUGUGCAGAGAAGCUGUCAGCCUUCUAAGAGAGCAUGUAGCCAGCAAACGCAUCGUGGUGCUUCAGUACCAAGCUGAUACCACAGGCCUCCAUCUUUUUGUGAAAAGGGAUCACAAGAAAAUGUGCUGAUGUUGAAGGGGGAAAGGUGGCAGGGGAAGAGAUUUGAGCAUCUAUGCCAUGGACGUAGCAGGAGAACAGCAGCUGGAUGUAGAGCACAAGCAGUUUAAACAGCACUUGGAUAAAGCUGCCAAUCGUGUGACUCCAGAAGCCAACAGACACUGUAAGAUGCUAUUCUGCCAUUCUUGGAUGGAUGCUCUCAUAGCCUUUCCAUCACCAUAUGCCUGCUAUGAUAUUCAUGGGAACAAGGGACAUCUGAAUUCACAGCAUUUUAAACACCACAAACUCUUGAAGAGUUUAUAGGACACAAAUCUAUUACACUGGCAGAUCAGACAAGCUCCUCUGUGUGUGUGUGUGUAUAUAUAUUAUACUCAGUACUGUUGCGAGGCAAGUCUUUGCCUGGUCCCUCUGAAAUUGGGACGAGGACUCAUUGAUGCAUUUCAGGAGCAAAGCUGCUGAGUGAACAGGCUUUUCCUACUAGAAAUCAAGCAGCUGGUCUGGCAAAAAUUGACUUUGGUUGCAUCUUUAAAUCCUAGGAGGCUGACAAAUGGGAUGAGCUGGUUAAAGAGCCUCUCUCCAGGGAAGACUCCACUGACUUGACCCUUAAGCCUAAACUUGUUUCUUACUACGUUUGCUUUGUGUGUGUUAAUGCAUACCCGAUUCAUAGGUUUGAGUUGAUUGAUCAGUUACAACUUGUGAGUAAGUGGUCCUUGGCUACAUAAACCUCUCCUCUGCUUUUUUUUACAUGUUAUGACUUACUGUUGUACUUCAAUACAAACCAGGAACAAUUCUGGUAGUUUUGCAAUCUAACAGUAAUACUGUCCCAACUUUGUCUUUCUAACACGUGAGGUCCUUAUUUUCUGUUCUGGGAGAUAGUGUAGUUCUGUGUAUUGGCAUGAACUAAACUUGCUGAUUUGUUGUAACUCAGAUUUAACUUUUCUGUGCUGAAAGGCUAAACUAAGCCUAGAGCUGAACAGUGGGUAGGUAUGAGAGCUUCUCCUGUUGUCACAGAAGUGAGGUGAUAGCGUUCUUACUGUUGUGUCACUUAGCAGCCUUUUUGUAUUCAGAGGCUGUGGUGUGGUGAAUGUAAUGUCUGAGGUCAAACCCUGCUUUUCUGUAUCUAAUUCUCUGUUACCACAUGUAGGCCUCCUGCCUUACUUGUGUCGCCAGCCUCCACUGGGAUUACUCUGUCUGAACAGGUUGCUCUUGCUCCUUAUAUUAUCAAGGGAGAGUAAGAGAAACUUGCAGGGAGCAAACAGUCUCAUCCAGGAGAGGCAUUUUGAAAGCGAUCAAAUUGCAUUGCAUGCAACGAGCAAUUUCUUCUGCUGUCUGGAAAAAGUAUAUGGCUAGUUUGAUUUCCAGCACCAGUGUGACUAGUUGGAUUGGAUGUGUCCACACAUCAGUUUCUGUUAGUAACACUUGAUGUUCAGACAGUUAUUUAAAUGGCAACUAUAGCAGUAUUGACUGGUAAAGGAAAAAUGCACGCAGAUGUGGUUACCGCUGGGCUUGCUUUAGUCACGACUCAGAGCUGGGCCACCACCCCAGCGAGUGGCAGAGAACCAAGCGAUACAGCACAGCUUAUAUACACUUACCAGAUCAUUAGUCAAUGUCUGAAGUUUUUAGGAGUUUCCUUGGUCCUGUUGGUUCUGUGAAUCCAUCACCUGACUGUCCCAGUUGAUUCACCUGCUCAGUUCCAGUCUCUGCCUCUGUUCCAGGCUCUUCCUUGUGUCACUGAAAUCUCAGAAUGAAGAACUUGUUGACACCAAUGUGAUGUAGAUAAGCAGACGCUUCUUUAUUGACAGCCAGGUGUGUGAGUGAGUCUCCUCACGAUCAAUGCACACCAAGUUUCAAAAUCAUACAUCUUAUAUAUAACUUAUUCAUGCAUAAUCAUAGUGUUUCCUGAAAAUCAUUAACAUAGUCUCCUCCCAUAUCCAAUUCUGCACAGUAAAGGUUAGAAAGGUCCAGAAAUGGGUCUGGGGUAUGAUUUGGGUAGGUGGUAUAUGAGUCAGUGGUCGCAAUCUCCCCCUGCCAGAAUUACCUUUUACUAAAGUUCACAGUUUCUUGGCAGGUAACUACAGGUUGUUCCAGUUGACUCUCCCCAGUUCCCAUUAAUUCUAUAUUCUGACACUUCAAUACACUUUCUACAUACAGAAGACUAGUCAAAUACAAAGAAAUCUGUAAAAUCCCAAAUUUGUUACCUAAGUUUUAAGCAAUGAUUCUAGCCCAUUCUUCUGGCCUUGGUACAGGGCUGUACAAAGGAUUUCAUAGCAGCUUUUGCUGUGCAACUACAAGUUUCACUAAAAUAUAUUUCUUAUUCCAAAUGAUUUUAUAAAAUCAAAUAAAGUCAAUUAAUUCUAA